Molecule: ribosomal RNA, 460 nt
Filed under: uncultured bacterium
Lineage: Bacteria
Description: partial 16S ribosomal RNA
Rfam family: Bacterial small subunit ribosomal RNA
Source: RNAcentral
CCUACGGGUGGCAGCAGUGAGGAAUAUUGGUCAAUGGACGAGAGUCUGAAGCAGCCAAGUAGCGUGAAGGAUGACUGCCCUAUGGGUUGUAAACUUCUUUUAUAUGGGAAUAAAAUGUUCCACGUGUGGGAUUUUGUAUGUACCAUAUGAAUAAGGAUCGGCUAACUCCGUGCCAGCAGCCGCGGUAAUACGGAGGAUCCGAGCGUUAUCCGGAUUUAUUGGGUUUAAAGGGAGCGCAGGUGGUUUGUUAAGUCAGUUGUGAAAGUUUGGGGCUCAACCGUAAAAUUGCAGUUGAUACUGGCAGUCUAGAGUACAGUAGAGGUGGGUGGAAUUCGUGGUGUAGCGGUGAAAUGCUUAGAGAUCUCGAAGAAUUCCGAUUGCGAAGGCAGCUCACUGGACUGAAACUGACACUGAGGCUCGAAAGUGUGGGGAUCAAACAGGAUUAGAUACCCUAGUAGUC